GACGAACGCUGGCGGCGUGCUUAACACAUGCAAGUCGAACGGAAAGGCCCUGCUUUUGUGGGGUGCUCGAGUGGCGAACGGGUGAGUAACACGUGAGUAACCUGCCCUUGACUUUGGGAUAACUUCAGGAAACUGGGGCUAAUACCGGAUAGGAGCUCCUGCUGCAUGGAGGGGGGUGGAAAGUUUCGGCGGUUGGGGAUGGACUCGCGGCUUAUCAGCUAGUUGGUGGGGGAGUGGCUUACCAAGGCUUUGACGGGUAGCCGGCCUGAGAGGGUGACCGGGGACAUGGGGACUGAGAGAGGGCGCAGACGCCUAUGGGAGGCAGAAGUGGGGAAUAUUGCACAAUGGGCCGAAGUCUGAGGCAGAAACGCCGCGUGUGGGAUGACGGCCUGUGGGGUGUAAAACGCUUUCGCCUGUGACGAAGCGGGAGUGACGGUAAUCGGUAAAGAAGCACCGGCUAACUACGUG
RNAcentral lists this ribosomal RNA (468 nucleotides) under uncultured bacterium. RNAcentral describes it as "partial 16S ribosomal RNA". It matches the Rfam family "Bacterial small subunit ribosomal RNA", at positions 28 to 507 of the family's 1533-position model. The record is from RNAcentral.